UUCGCCUACGGGGCGUAGCAGUGAGGAAUAUUGGUCAAUGGGCGGAAGCCUGAACCAGCCAAGUCGCGUGAGGGAGGAAGGCCCUGCGGGUCGCAGACCUCUUUGGACGGGGAGCAAGGCCGCCGACGUGUCGGCGGAAGGAGAGUACCCGUAGAACAAGCAUCGGCUAACUCCGUGCCAGCAGCCGCGGUAAUACGGAGGAUGCGAGCGUUAUCCGGAUUUAUUGGGUUUAAAGGGUGCGUAGGCGGGCUUUUAAGUCAGCGGUAAAAAUUCGGGGCUCAACCCCGUCCGGCCGUUGAAACUGG
Molecule: ribosomal RNA, 305 nt
Filed under: uncultured bacterium
Lineage: Bacteria
Description: bacterial SSU rRNA
Rfam family: Bacterial small subunit ribosomal RNA
Source: RNAcentral